AACAGGAUUAGAUACCCUGGUAGUCCACGCCGUAAACGAUGAGUGCUAGGUGUUGGGGGGCUACGCCCCUCAGUGCCGAAGGUAACCCAUUAAGCACUCCGCCUGGGGAGUACGGCCGCAAGGCUGAAACUCAAAGGAAUUGACGGGGGCCCGCACAAGCGGUGGAGCAUGUGGUUUAAUUCGAAGCAACGCGAAGAACCUUACCAGGGCUUGACAUCCCGCUGACCCCUCCAGAGAUGGAGGUUUCCUUCGGGACAGCGGUGACAGGUGGUGCAUGGUUGUCGUCAGCUCGUGUCGUGAGAUGUUGGGUUCAGUCCCGCAACGAGCGCAACCCUUGUCGUUAGUUGCCAGCAUUUCGGAUGGGCACUCUAACGAGACAGCCGGUGAAAGCCGGAGGAAGGUGGGGAUGACGUCAAAUCAUCAUGCCCCUUAUGUCCUGGGCUACACACGUGCUACAAUGGCUGGUACAAAGGGCAGCGAACCCGCGAGGGGGAGCCAAUCCCAAAAAGCCAGUCUCAGUUCGGAUCGCAGGCUGCAACUCGCCUGCGUGAAGCCGGAAUCGCUAGUAAUCGCGGAUCAGCAUGCCGCGGUGAAUAUGUUCCCGGGCCUUGUACACACCGCCCGUCACACCACGAGAGUUUGCAACACCCGAAGUCGGUGAGGCAACCUUUUAGGAGCCAGCCGCCGAAGGUGGGGCAGAUGAUUGGGGUGAAGUCGUAACAAGGUAACC
Molecule: ribosomal RNA, 730 nt
Filed under: uncultured bacterium
Lineage: Bacteria
Description: bacterial SSU rRNA
Rfam family: Bacterial small subunit ribosomal RNA
Source: RNAcentral